UGACAGUUAAGGGGUUAAGCAAAAACUGGGGGAGUUAUGUAACACAUACCUUGUAUUCAAAUAAAGAGCAUUUCGCUGACUGUCUUUAUUUUGACUGUCUUUUUUGCCUCACUGGGCAGGUCAGUAAGUAUGUUUACAUCUACCUCACCCUUAUCAUACUCCAACUCUUCUGAGGGGCAUUGCUCAAAAGUAGAAUUAAGAAAGCCAGGAUAACAGAAAAGGCGCGGCUUGACCUAGUUUAAUCAGCGCAUCCUGGCUUAGUCCGUUGCACGUUUGCUGAGCCAGGGUGAGAACGUGCAGCUAUGUCAAGCCAGGUGUAUAUAGUUGGGAUAAGUGCACGUUCACGGCAUUCUUAAACAGACCACGGGAUCGAUCUCAGAAUCAAUGAUGCAAAAAUGGAUAAAACCGGUGCGGCAUACUUCUCGCCAACUGAGCAACAGCUUCUAAUGGAAACAUAUGAAGAGGUGAAACAUAUAAUAUGUAAAAAGGGAAAUACAGCUGCUAUAAUAAAACAAAGAGAAAAUGCCUGGCAGACAAUAGCGGACCGAUUGAAUGCAUGAGUAGUCCAAAUAACCAGUGCUCCACUGAAGCCAUCAUAAUUACAAUUCAAGGAGUUAUUUGUCAUUUCCACAAAUUAACAGUUGUACACUUUGCCUUAAAUGUGACCAGUGGACAUGCAUGUUACUCAUGCAAACACAUGUAUGAUUAAUUGCAAACACUUAUCCACUAUGCGCAUCCAUCCAUCCAUCCAUCCAUCCAAAAGAACAAGCAUGUCUGGCCAAAAAAGGACCUGGCAGCAAGUCAAGAUUAAGUACAAGAACAUUUUGCAGGCUGCAUUUAAAAAAAAAGGCUCAUGUAUCUGGCACGGGGGGUGGCCCUCCAAACCAAGACUUCAUCACAGCAGAGGAGCUGGCCCUGGAGUUGAAUAAAGGGAAGCCAGUGAUGGAAGGGAUCCAGGGAGGGACAGCCACUGACUCUGGCCCAGCAAGAGAAACUGGCCUCUUCAUACAAAUGUCUGGUAACACACUUACACUUCUGGAGCCACCAGACUAUGAUCC
Molecule: long non-coding RNA, 1058 nt
Organism: Sinocyclocheilus anshuiensis
Lineage: Eukaryota; Metazoa; Chordata; Actinopteri; Cypriniformes; Cyprinidae
Exons: 3
Source: RefSeq, a predicted model, not a curated record